UGGUGGCGCAGUGGUUGAGAGUCCGCCUGCCGAUGCAGGGGACGCGGGUUCGUGCCCCGGUCCGGGAAGAUCCCAUAUGCCGCGGAGCGGCUGGGCCCGUGAGUCAUGGCCGCUGGGCCUGCGCGUCCGGAGCCUGUGCUCCGCAACGGGAGAGGCCACAGCAGUGAGAGGCCCGCCCACCGCAAAACAAACAAACAAAAAAAAACAGCAGCCUGCAGUGAUCCCGGGAGCGAUACCACAGAGGGCUCUUGCUGGGUUACCAUCUUGGACUUGAAGGAGGCCUUUUUUGCACACCCUUGAGUUUUGAAUCCCAAGAGUUGUUUUGCUUUCGAAGGGAAGAUCGAGAUAAAGGAGGUGAACUCCAGUACUGCUGGACAGUGCUUCCUCAGGGAGUGAAAAAUUCUCACGAUACUUGGGGAAAUCCUGGCGAGACCUGAGGGACCUUGAACUAAACAGGGGAGCCCUGCUCCAGGAUGUGGAAAAUGCCCUGAUUACCAGUGAGACAGAGGACUCCUGAGACCAAGGUUAAACAUACAGGAGAUCGGCUUCAUCCCUGCUGGACGGGACCUUAUGAGAAAUGCGAUGGGAAACGGAAACCAUGCUGCAGAAGGAAAACCGCGACCAAGAUCAUCCAAACCUUGCCUGGUUCCAGCCCCCGACACUGACUUCUUCCAGGGGCAGGUGAACCCUGACAGAUCUUCAGUUGCUUUUCAGAAGCUGCGAGAAAGAAAUCAAGAACUUGGAGGCAACUCCUUCCUCCCAGGCCCACAGUCCUCCCUUCCCUCCUGGCUAGAGCACUUCCUGAGUGGAGGACGAAGGCUGGAGGAGCCCAGGGCACCGGAUCCGGUGGGUGUGACCGCCCCCCCUGCCGCCAGGAUGGACACCAGCUGGUCCCGUGCACCAGUCCAGCAUCUCGGCUCCCAGGGAGGCGAGCCUGACCCGGAGCGAGGAGGUGACUGCCCGAGCACGGAUGCUCCUACCCGGCUGUUCUCGGGUGAGCCUAGGGUGAGGCUGUGGAGCCUGAAAGUCUGGGGCUGUGAGGACCAGGCUCGGCUCACAGAUGGAGGAACAAGCCGGAGGGAGGGCCAGCUGACCAUGGCCGCAAGGCCACUCGUCGCAGCUGAGAUCCAGGCCCGGGAUGCCGUGCUGUGUCCCCACGUGCUGUCCUGUGCUGCGGGCUGAGCGGGUGUGCCCUUGGUGCAGCGGACGGAGUGCGGUUCUCAGCCUGGGGCUUCAACCCAGUAAGACGAUGUUUGUGGAUUUCGUCAGCAGCUGUGACACAGGAUUUCCUUUCCCUGGUUGUACAGGUUUUUUAAAAUUAAUUUUUGGCCACGUUGGGUCUUCGUUGCUGUGCACGGGCUUUCUCUGGUUGUGGCAAGUGGGGUCUACUCUUCUUUGUGGUGCACGGGCUUCUCACUGCGGUGGCUUCUCAUUGCGGAGCACAGGCUCUAGGUGUGCUCGCUUCAGUACUUGUGGCAUGCAGGUUCAGUGGUUGUGGCUCACAGGCUCCAGAGCCCAGGCUCAGUAGUUGUGGCACAUGGGCUUAGUUGCUCUGCAGCAUGUGGGAUCUUCCCGGACCAGGUCUCGAACCUGUGUUCCCUGCACCACCAGCAAAGUAAGUAUCUGAUUGUACAGUUUUAAAUGUAAUGUGAUAGAAACCGCAGGUGUACGUAUUUCAGUGUUUUCUGAGCUGUGAGGAAGUGGGGUCACUUCACAAGACAUAGGUCGCCUGUGCUACCACUUCAAAAUGAAGAUGUGACAGGCAGGAUCCCCUCUGGGGUGGAUCGGGUUAAGACAUUCAGACUCUAGGCAGGGAACCGUGUUGUCACGUCCUCGGGUGUUGUCACGUGACCACCUGGCCAGAGCUGGAAAGGGGGUCUCACCCCAGCAAAGCCUCCGUCGGGGGAAACUGCUCACCUUUAAAAGUGAGAAGUGGACCCCGUGCCGUCAGAGCACCGAGUUCUCUGGAAUCACCUGGGGCAGCAGGGGAGGAAGGUGGCCCAGGCCUCUGGGGUCUGGAGGGCUGGCCCGGGUCUGGCCUGUGCAGCCCCUCCCGAUCCACCCAAGGGGCCGACCUGCAGGACGGAGCCCUGAGGAACCAGGUACGAGGCAAACCCAGGGUCGGUAAUGCUUUUCCAAGAGAUGGCAGGCUCUGAACGUGAAGGACAAGGGCCGAGUCCCCCGACCAUUGUGGGAAAUGCCGUCAUUUGCAGGGCUGCAGAGAGGGCGGUGGGAAGCUGUGCCUCCUGCACGUGAGACCCCCGCCUGGUCCUGCACUGAGGGUAGGUGCUCCUUGAGUGGGACCCUGGGUGACUUUCCUGGCACUGGGUCAGUUAACACGUUUCUCCCGGGUAGCUGCCGCUCAUGUUUCUGCUGUUCCCCACGGGCUCCGGCGACCACUGCUCUGUGCUCUGCAGAUGCUGCGUUCCUUACAAAUCCAAGGUCUGUGGCAAUCCUGCGUUGAGCAAAUCUGGUGCCGAUUCUCCAAGUGCAUUUACUCACCUUGUCAUGUUUUAGUUAGAGUGUUUCAAACUUUCAUCAUUUUAUGUGUGGCAGUGAUUUUACUAAUUCUGACUUGGAAAACUCAGGUGCUGGUUAAUGUUUUUUUAGCAAUGAAGUGUUAAGGUGUAUAGGCUGUUCAGAUGUAAGUCUGUAUACAUAACAGACAAACAUAGUGCAAGCAAGCUUUAUAUGCACCGGGACACCCACCAAGUCAUGUGAUUCGUGUUAUUGUGAUCAGUUUCCGGUGAUGGAGAGAUCUUGGGUUCACAUCUGAGGUCUGCCUGUCACACGCCCCGGGGGAGCCUGUGGAGCUCUGGGAACAGGACUGGGGCUCCAGGAACGGUGUGCUCCCCCUGCACCCUGUAGAAGGGACAGCCUGGACCAGUGUGACAGAGGUGACAAGUGGUCGGGAGCAGAGGAGGGUCACAGUCUCUCCCGGACCAAACUGGCUGGGCUCCUCUGAGCAGUUCCCAACUAGGCCCUGACCCUUCAGGCUUCAGCGUCUGGGUUUUCAUUGUUCAUGUUAGCAAGAUUCCUGUUGUCAGUUUAGCCAGAGCUCCCCAGGCUCAACUUCUGACCACCAUCAACAUCUGACUGGAUUCCUCAUCCCCCUUCCUCCCCCUAAUGAGGCCUCACUCUCUGGUCUGCCCUCAGCAUGAAUCCUGUAUGUCGGUUUAAUGCUGUGAUCUGAGUGUGUGUCCCCAAACUCCUGUCGAAUCCUAAUGCCUGACGUGAUGGUGUUGGCCUUUGGGAGGUGAUGAUGUCAUGAGGGUGGAGCCCCUGUGAAUGGGAUUAGCGCCCUGAUAAGAGCCCCCAGUGAGCCCCCAGCCCUUCCCCCAUGUGAGGACACAGGGAGAAGACGCUGUCUGUGAACCAGGAAGAAGCCUCACCAGACGUUGAAUCUGCCGUCACCUUGAUCCUGGACGUCCAGUCUCUAGGCUGUGAGAACUCGACUCAUGUUUAAGCCCCCAGUCUGGUCCUGUUAGAGCAGCUCAGACAGACACCUCCACCCCUGCUGUUUCCUCUGACUUCCCGUUGGUGGCACCACCCUGCUCCUGGCUGUCACCCCCGCAGUGGGAGAACUGCUUUCCAAAAACAACCCUCCACUGAGAAGAGUAAAUUAUACAUUUUUGUCAUCUUAUCCUCGACUGACAGAAGCGAGAAGUGUUAACACCUGUUUCUGCAUUUGUUGGCCAUAACAGUACCAGUGCCUGGAACCCUGGCCCGUAGCUGGGGGAACGCAGUAAAGAUGAAGCUGAAGGAAGACAGGCUGUUGAGAAAAUCAAAGCUGGCUUGGAGUGAAGUGGAGCCCGACGCCUGCCCGACACGCCGGACGAGAGGUUCGAGGGAAGCUGGCUGUGCAUCCGGGGCAGAGGCCUCUCACUAUUGUGACCUCUCCCGUUGCGGAGCACAGGCUCUGGACACGCAGGCUCAGCAGCCAUGGCUCACGGGCCCAGCCACUCCGCGGCAUGUGGGAUCCUCCCGGACCGGGGCACGAACCCGCGUCCCCUGCAUUGGCAGGCGGACUCCCAAACACUGCACCACCAGAGA
Long non-coding RNA from Physeter macrocephalus (sperm whale), 4053 nucleotides. RefSeq lists it as uncharacterized. The record is from RefSeq and is a predicted model, not a curated record. The transcript is spliced from 8 exons. NCBI's taxonomy places the organism in Eukaryota, Metazoa, Chordata, Mammalia, Artiodactyla, Physeteridae.